Non-coding RNA from Zonotrichia albicollis (white-throated sparrow), 4860 nucleotides. NCBI's taxonomy places the organism in Eukaryota, Metazoa, Chordata, Aves, Passeriformes, Passerellidae. The record is from RefSeq and is a predicted model, not a curated record.
AGCAGUGGCACAGCCCGCCCCCGCUCGGGGUGGUACGGCCCAAGGCUUUAUAAGCGGCCGCCGAAAGGAUUCGCGCCCUUUCGUCCCAUGCCCUUGGAGCUGCUGAGGCCACCAUGGAGGCUGCAGCGGCGCCGGGACGCCGCCGGGACCGCGGAAACCUCUCCCCGCAGAAAGAUGUCGUGAAGUAAAGAAGCUGGGCCUGUGACACAGCAGGAGCAGCUGGGGAGAGGUGGCUCUGAUGUGAAGGUAGAGCCUGCAGGGCUGUGCUGGUGAUGUCCCCCCAUUGAUGGGACAGCUCUUCCCAAGUCCUGUGGAGGGCACUGGGACAGAGCAGGAGAAUCUGCUGGGUGGUGCUGCUGCAAACAUCUCUGAGGCAGAAGGACUCCAACACAGCACCUGGCCUUGAGGAGUUUGUGCAGACAGAACAUUUUUCUGCCUGUUACAGAGUGGUAACAGUUAAAAUGUUUUAUUACGUGUGCAUUAAAAUAAUUUUAAAAAUGAAAUAACACUGUUUGGUCACUUCACUGCAUUAGGGAAAGUGGGCACUCCUAUAAUGUGCUGUAAGGUGAAGAAGAUGUACCAAGAUUGCAAAAUUUUCACUGCAGAUGAUGCCAAUGGGGUUUAGGGUGGUAAUUAGAGUUUAAACAAGACACCAAGAGUGUAAUUAAUUACUGCACAGAGCAGCCCUUCAGUGCUCUGACAGCCAGAGCAGCAAAAUGCAGCUGCAUCUGUAGCUUGUUUGCAGGCUUGCUGUUUGUCAUUUUGAUCUCAAAAAUUAAAUUUAAAGUCUGCUGCAGAGGCAAAGUUCAAGGGUUAGGGGGAAUCUUGGCAACUUGGAGAUGCUUAAAAGAGUUAAAAAAGCCAGUGUUUGAGGCCAAAACUCCCAAUUAGCUUAAUUAUAUCAGUAGAACUGGCAGGUUCAACACUUCAGUGCUCCAAACAUCCAGAGUGAUGGUGCUGAGCCUUCUGCCCACCUGGUGUCAGCAGUGAGGGUUUAGGGUGUGCUUUUUUUCCAAAUUAAUGAAUAAUUAAACUAAUUCCUCACGAGCCUGUGGUCACUGCUGAGGGGGUAUCACAGUGAUCACUGCACAGCUCCAGGUGGGAGAGUUUGGGGUUGUUUUGCCUUCCCUGUGCAGUUCAGGUGAAGAUCUGAAUUGAUUUUCAUUCUGAUUUUCUGGCUGGAAGGUGCUGUGAGCUGGUGCUGCUCGUGUGGCAUCAGGGCAGUGUCCCUGUCCCUCCAAAAGCAGGGGUGAGGUGUAAAUUGCAUGAAAUGCAGAAUUUCAGGAGUUUCUUUUUGUGUUCAGAAAAACAGGCUCAGUGUUUUUCAGAGAAAUCUGGUUCUACAACAUGAAGGUAAAUUAAUCUGGAUUUUUUUUUCCCCUAGAAUUGUUACUGUAGUACAUCCAGGGCUUAAUAAAAACAUUCAGCCUGGGCAGUGGAGUAGGUAAAACAUUUGGAAUUAAUUAGUUGCUCUUCAUCUGAAAGGAUUUGAGCACUAUGACGAACAGGUUACUCCUCUGCUCUAUUAAAAUUUAAAAUUACAUUCUGUUCCCAGUGUUUUAAGAACCAAACUUAUUUUUCCCUGAUUUUAAGAGCUUGUGUAUUAGAACAUGUUUAUAUUUCUUAUCUCAUGCAGUGGGAAUAAAAAUGGGUUUAAAGCUCUCAAAAACCACAAAGAUCCACCUCCUUUAAAUGUGAAUCUGCAGACCAUGGAGGUAAAAGCAGCCACAUGCCCUCAGCAAACAGAAAUAAUCAGCAAAUUGUUUAAUGAGCUGUUUAAUUUGCUCAAGGAAGGUUUGCUGCAACUUGUUUGAAAGUUCUUGCUUUCUAAUGUUGAGAUUCUCUCAUUAAAACAGAGCAAAGUUGAUCUGGGAAAACUUGAAUAUUGAAUUUACCUGGGUUUAUUGAGGGUGCAGUUGGUGGUAUCUGCUAGAGAUAAAUAUUCAUGAGUUUCAUUUUAGCACCACUUGUUUAUUGUUCUAAUCAAAACCAAAGUUCCUCAGCAGGGAUCCUUUAGCAGGCUGGGGUUUUGCUGAGAUUAAUCAAUGGAAAAUGUUAUUUCUGUUAGAAAAUGGUGCCUUUCAAACAUAACAAAUGUCCUCAGUGUUUUACUGUGAUUUUCCAGGGGAGCACAGAUAAUUUCAUGGUGCUUGAGGGGAAGGGAAAUAAAACCAUUCUGUUUUGAUUACAUUUGGAGCACUUAAAACUUAGUGUUGGGGAAUAAACAGCAGACAAAAAUCUGGUUUUAAAACACAAUUAUUUUGGAUUUUCUAAAGGUUUCAAAAGAACAGUUGGCAGGAAUCCCUUUGGCACUCAACAGCAGCCAACAACCCUGGAUAAAUCUAAAAUAGAUGAAAAGAUUAAAGCAGAAAGAAAAAAUAUGCAACAAAGCAAAGAAUGGCUGAGUGCCAGCUUUUAGCAAUAAGAGAGAUGGCAAUGCUGUAUCUCAAAUCAGUGUUUGAGAGAGAACAUGGAGAUUAUCCCCAAAAUCUGGGCUGGGGGGCUGGAAUUGAGGAGGAGGAGAGGAUCCACAGCUUGUAAAUCACAAGCUUCACAUUUCACAUAAAUGCUGGUUAUCAUCCUCAUUUCUUGAUUAGUAUUGUAAAGCAAUCCUGUCUGCAGCAGCAUGAGAACCAUCACUGAUGCAAAGCCAUAAAUUACUGUAAUUAAUACAUGCCAGCCAUUAAUGCAAUGUAAAGAGCAGCUCUCUCUUGGCUUGCUGUUCCAGCUGAGCUGCAGCUCCUUAACCAGGAGGGAGGAAGGGAUAUCCUGUGUGUCUGAGCUUUGCAGAGUGCAAGAAAUCCUAAAUAUUCAAUAUUGACACUUCACUGCUUUUCCCCUCAGAGCAGGAGGAGCUGUGAAUUUUCCAACUCCCUCUCAGAGAUGUGAGGCACAGAGGAGCUGCUGUUGGUGUCGUGCCAGAAAAGAGUCCCAGCCCCCAGCCCUGCUGUUUCUGUGCCUGUGGUGGAGGGGAGCUCUGAGCCUGCAGGAAAGCAGAGCCUGGGAGAAUGCUGAGCCUUGGAAUUGAUCCUUUAACAAGCAGGUGGGUGCAGUGAAGAUGAAACAACAAUAAAAAAGGAAUGGUGAAGUUGUGCUCUUGGGAAGUGGUGUGGAAAUGCACAGAGCCCCAAGCAGAGCCUGUUCUGUGUUUGAGGCUUUUCCACCUCUGGGAUUUUCUGCUGUUUCUCUACAUGCAGAACUCCCAGCAGUGGGAUCAGGGUCCGAGCCUUGGGGCAGCAGCUCCCAGAGUGGGAUUGAUUUGAUUUUUCAGUGCUUUGGUUUUCAUUUCUAGAGGAGCUGGAACUGCAGCGCUCACCUGAGUGAGUGACCAGGCAGGGAGCAGCUGCCCAAGGGAAGCUCAUUCCUGGGUUCCACAUCUGUUACUGCCCAAUAUCCCAUAAUUUUCCAUCCAUCCCUGACUCUCUGCAUGUCUGUUCCAUAAAUUUGGGUCUGUAGGAAGAUGCUUUGAGGUUUUAUUUAUGUAGAUUGUGUUUAGGAUGGUUGUGAGUGCUGCUUGCAAAAUGCUGAUCACAAAGCUCCUCCCCAAAGCCUUUCCCAGAGCCAGAGGAACCCUGGAGAAGGACAGAGCUGGCAGGGAGAGCCAGGAAUGAAGUGGUUUUACAUCACACACCUCGAAAAUCCAGUGAUAAAUGCCCACACCAAACCUGCAGGGAAUUAAAUAUUAAUAUUUCUCUCCUCUUUUGUAAACCUCCAGUCUAUUUGUCCUUCCAAUUACAGCUCCCUGAGAGCUGCCACGUGCACUCACUGCAGGCUGGGAUUGCUCACCCCAACCUGCUGGAUGCAAACCAGCCCACAGGUUUAUUUUCUCCUCAGACUGAGUUAAUAAAAAGCAAAGAAAAAGGAUGGCCCAGAAGCCACAGGAUCAAUAAGCUGUUAGGAGCCAAGAAAACUCAGCAAACUGCACACAUAAUUAAAGGCUGUGUGAACAGGUUGCAUCUUUACUGACUCUAUUAAAUCAGCUCUUCAGUUUUAUGUAAAACAAUCAGCUGAGCUGAAGGUAAAACCAGCUGUGUCUCUGGGUAUUUACAGAGGGGGGAUAAAUACAGGGGGAUAAAAAAGUGGGAUAAAAAAUGCAUGGCCAGAACUGCCAGAAGGGACUGCAAACAAAGCACCUCCAGUUCCCCAUCCUUCAGGGGUAACUGAGCAUGGGCUGGUGGAGCUGGCACAGAAAUGACACUUUAUUCCUAAACACCUUUCCUGCAGUGAGCAAAGCUCUGGUGCUCCUCCCUGAGAACAAACCCUGUGCUAACAUUUUAUACAAACAGGUCCCAGAAUGGUUUGGGUUGGGGAAUUAAAGCCCAGUUCACUCCAGCAUUCUGCUGUGGGCAGGGACAAUAAUCCAGGUUGUUCCAAGUCCUGUCCAGCCUGGGGAUAUCCCUUCAUUUAUUCAUGAUAAUUAAUUAAUAUUAAUGUUAAUGUGCCUGGAGCUGGGCCCUCUGUAGGAAGUGAGGCUGGAGCCUGGCUGGAGGCACUCAGAGCCCUGGGAGGGGUGGCUCUGUCCUUCAGAAUUUCCUGUUAAAGACAUUUCAUAGCGCUGGAAAGCUCCUCUGCUCUUACAGCUGCUGGUGGAAAUCAUCCCAGGCACAGAAAAACCCCACUGUCCCUGGAGUGCAGGAAAAGUGGGAUCGAGGCUGACACCCCUGUACCAGAGAGGUGGGAGGAGAUUCCAUCUGUUGCUCACCAAGGAACUUUUCCUCAGAGGUUGGGUCAGUUGUUUUUACCCCUUUUCCCUCAGCUUUGAGAUGUGAAUUCUGCUAAUGAGGUCAGUUUGUUUCCCUGGCAAUGGCAGAUCCCAGCUGAUGGAGCCUCUGUGUUUCCAGGCCCUGAGUGCUGAGUGUG